CGGUAAUUCCAGCUCCAAUAGCGUAUAUUAAAGUUGUUGCGGUUAAAAAGCUCGUAGUUGGAUUUCUGUCGGGGAGCGGCGGUCCGCCCCAGUGGUCACCACACGGUUUGUUCUUUGGCCUCUUCCUGGGGAGAGUGUUUGCUCUUUCACUGUGUGGCACAUGAUCCAGAACUUUUACUUUGAGGAAAUGAGAGUGUUUCAAGCAGGCGCCCGUCGUGUAUACGUUAGCAUGGAAUAAUAGCAUGGGUCCGCGGUUUGAAGCUGUUGGUUUUUGGACCGUGGUAAUGAAAAUAGGGAUAGUUGGGGGUAUUCGUAUUUAACUGUCAGAGGUGAAAUUUUUGGAUUUUUUAAAGACGAACUACUGCGAAAGCAUCUGCCCAGGAUGUUUUUAUUGAUCAAGAACGAAAGUUAGGGGAUUGAAGACGAUCAGAUUCCGUCCUAGUCUUAACCUUAAACCAUUCCGACUAGAGAUUGGGGUCGUCAGAAUCGUGACGCCUUCAGCACCUUGAGAGAAAUCAAAGUCUUUGGGUUCCGGGGGGAGUAUGGUCGCAAGGCUGAAACUUAAAGGAAUUGACGGAAGGGCACCACCAGGAGUGGAGCCUGCGGCUUAUAUAUGACUCAACACGGGGAAACCUGCCAGGUCCAGACAUAGUCAGGAUUGACAGAUUGAUAGCUCUUUCGAGAUUCUAUGGGUGGUGGUGCAUGGUCGUUAUUAGUUGGUGGAGUGAUUUGUCUGGUUAAUUCCGUUAACGAACGAGACCUUAUCCUGCUAAAUAGCAUCGCCAGUUUUCUGGUUGACGGAGGGUUUUUUAGAGGGGAGUUCACAGUGUAACGCGAGGAAGUGUGAGGCCAUAACAGGUUUGUGAUGUCCUUAGAUGUUCUGGGGUGCCCCCGCCGUACCCUGAGACCAUCUCCGAGUUCUCUUGCGGGUUCCGGAGGGAGUGGGCACCCUUGGGAAAGCCCUUGGUGAUGGGGAUCGAUUAUUCCAAUUGUUAUUAUUCACGGAGGAAUUCUUAGUGGCCUCGAGUCUCCAACUACCUUGGAUUACGUCCUUGCCCUUCGUCCCCUCCCUCCUUCCUUCGUACGGUUUGAUGGAUCGUGGUGAACACUUGGGAGACGCGUGGAUCCCAGUUUCUGGUGUUCAGGUGGAAACUCGAGUGAACCUUAUCAUUUAGAGGAAGGAGAAGUCGUAACAAGGUAACC
RNAcentral lists this ribosomal RNA (1203 nucleotides) under uncultured dinoflagellate. Its description in RNAcentral is "SSU rRNA". It matches the Rfam family "Eukaryotic small subunit ribosomal RNA", at positions 577 to 1804 of the family's 1831-position model. The record is from RNAcentral. Lineage: Eukaryota; Dinophyceae.